CGGGGUGUAGCGCAGUUUGGUAGCGCGCGUGGUUCGGGACCGCGAGGUCGUGAGUUCGAAUCUCACCACCCCGACUA
Molecule: transfer RNA, 77 nt
Filed under: Candidatus Shapirobacteria bacterium CG_4_9_14_3_um_filter_39_13
Lineage: Bacteria; Candidatus Shapironibacteriota
Also listed under: 2 other names
Description: tRNA-Pro
Rfam family: tRNA
About the family: Transfer RNA (tRNA) molecules are approximately 80 nucleotides in length.
Source: RNAcentral